GCGUGCAGUCAGUGUAAAACGGCCUUCUGGCUGACGGUGUCCAGUCCAGUGGUAUUUUCGCAGAGUCACCGUUGAGAGUGCCUCAGCUGUGUAGUUGUUCGACUGCAUCAGGCGCUGGAACGGAACAGUUAGAAACGAACCGAGUAGUUUUCCUGAGCAACCUUUUUACUCGCGAGGCCUAGUGCGAACGGGUUCGGUGGAUGUAAUCCUGGACUACAUGUUGACCUCAACGGUACCAAGUGGAGCUUCGGAGAAAGGUUGUCCUUUGAGCUUGUGAAUGGCCUGUGCAGUAAGCGGCUGAAACGCCGUUUGCAGAUCUGUUUUUGAAGCAGGAAGUACUGCGAAACAGCCCGUAACCGAUGUGUAUUACGUUGACUGGUGGCCAUAUGGUGAAGCAGAGAAGAUUCAUUGGAAAUACAAAUAACAAAAUGAUUAAUAUACGGGAACAUUUAUAGGCGACUAUAAUUCGAUUCAUUGUAAAUAGCGCCUUGAAGAGUGAAAGUAUUCUUGUUGUAAACACACACUGAGUUGUGAGUUGUGUAUACACGAUCUCUUUCGUAUUAUGUGAUGAUCGUCGUAUUCCAAGAGUGAAAAAGUUAUCUCAAUAAGCGACGUUUUGGCUGGAUCUUCUUAUCUCUUUGCACCGACUGCUAGACCGAGAGCCC
This is a long non-coding RNA of Diprion similis, 665 nucleotides long. RefSeq lists it as uncharacterized. The record is from RefSeq and is a predicted model, not a curated record. The transcript is spliced from 3 exons. Lineage: Eukaryota; Metazoa; Arthropoda; Insecta; Hymenoptera; Diprionidae.